UACAGAGGUCUCAAGCGUUGUUCGGAUUCAUUGGGCGUAAAGGGUGCGUAGGUGGCGCGCUAAGUCAGGUGUGAAAUUUCGGAGCUUAACUCCGAAACUGCAUUUGAUACUGGCGUGCUUGAGGACUGGAGAGGAGACUGGAAUUCAUGGUGUAGCAGUGAAAUGCGUAGAGAUCAUGAGGAAGACCAGUGGCGAAGGCGGGUCUCUGGGCAGUAACUGACGCUGAGGAGCGAAAGCGUGGGGAGCGAACAGG
Molecule: ribosomal RNA, 253 nt
Filed under: uncultured bacterium
Lineage: Bacteria
Description: partial 16S ribosomal RNA
Rfam family: Bacterial small subunit ribosomal RNA
Source: RNAcentral